Molecule: ribosomal RNA, 505 nt
Filed under: uncultured bacterium
Lineage: Bacteria
Description: bacterial SSU rRNA
Rfam family: Bacterial small subunit ribosomal RNA
Source: RNAcentral
UGAACGCUGGCGGCGUGCCUAACACAUGCAAGUCGAACGGAGUUUAGCGCUGAUGAAGCUUCGGCAGAUUCUGUUGAACUUAGUGGCGGACGGGUGAGUAACGCGUGGGUAACCUGCCUCAUACAGGGGGAUAGCAGUUGGAAACGACUGAUAACACCGCAUAAGCGCACAGUGUCGCAUGACACAGUGUGAAAAAUAUUUAUAGGUAUGAGAUGGACCCGCGUCUGAUUAGCUAGUUGGUGAGGUAACGGCCCACCAAGGCGACGAUCAGUAGCCGGCCUGAGAGGGCGGACGGCCACAUUGGGACUGAGACACGGCCCAAACUCCUACGGGAGGCAGCAGUGGGGGAUAUUGCACAAUGGGCGAAAGCCUGAUGCAGCGACGCCGCCGUGAGUGAAGAAGUAUUUCGGUAUGUAAAGCUCUAUCAGCAGGGAAGAAAGACCUCGUAAGAGGGGAUGACGGUACCUGAGUAAGAAGCCCCGGCUAACUACGUGCCAGCAGCCGC